RNAcentral lists this ribosomal RNA (140 nucleotides) under uncultured bacterium. RNAcentral's name for it is "partial 16S ribosomal RNA". It matches the Rfam family "Bacterial small subunit ribosomal RNA", at positions 355 to 509 of the family's 1533-position model. The record is from RNAcentral.
UGAGGGAUAUUGGUCAAUCGGGGGGAAAACCCUGAACCAGCAACGCCGCGUGAGGGAAGACGGUUUUCGGAUUGUAAACCUCUGUCCUCUGUGAAGAUGAUGACGGUAGCAGAGGAGGAAGCUCCGGCUAACUACGUGCC